ACUUCAGCAGGGUGUGCUCAUGGAUGGGAGGGAGGAAGCGCUGACAGAGCUCCUCUGCAUUGGAAACUCGGCGAAAGAUGAGCUAAGUGUGCACAAAAUGCGCAUUUCUGUCCAUAUAUGUGCUGUGGGAUGAGAAACACUGCCAGGACUGGCAGGAAAGGUGGGGCACGGAGGGCUGGGCACUCCUGGGGAUGGGGAGGGAGUUUUGGUGAGGGAAUCCCACUCAGGGCUCAUUCAGCUGCAGCAAACUGGGAAAACCUGCACUUGGAGCCUCCCCUUCCCAGCAAAGGCCUCUGCCAGUGACAGCAGCGCAAAAACAUUUCAGCAAUGCGCUCCAAACCACUUCCAAAUGUUUUCCAGGCUGGAGCAGAGUGCCACGGAGCCGGGGAGCUGCCCUGGCUCUGGGCACGCUGCCCAGCCAACCUGCUUCCUCUGCUGGCCCAGCAAAUUCCUGCUGGGAGCAGGAUGCUCCUGAAGGGAGGAGAGGCAUCGCCCUGCGCCCCUGCAGCCGAGGGAAUGCAGCUUUUCAUGCUGUUGGAGUUUUUUGAGUCAUUUCCGCGGCCGCUGAGCCUCCCUGAGGCCGGCCACCCGCCGUGGAUGCAGUCACCUUGGGUCAUUCAUCCCAAAUGUGUUUCCUCAGGAAUCUGGGGAUGCCUGUGGCUGUGGCAGCCUCUGCUGAAGGGUUUCUGGUGCCAGGGACGCCUGGAUGCACGUUCUGGAGCUGUGGAACAGCAUUCCCAAUCCUGCCUCCAGAGCAGCCACUGUGACCAAAGGCUGCUUCUCCCAGUUUAUAUUUCCCUGUCCUUGGCAGAUGAAGAGCCUGAAGCUGUCAGAGGGGUGGGAAUUUGAUGGGAUCCUGCCUGGCCCUGCCACCCUCGUUUGUCACCUCUUGUCACACCCUCAUCACUCCAUUAUUCAUGAGCCAGAAAGGGAAAAAAUCAUCCCAAACCUGAAAUUCCGUGCAUGGAUAUGGAGGGGAAUCCCUGAAUUCCUCUGGCAGGAGAGGAGGCAGGAAUGGCUCGUCCUGGUCUGACCAAAUUCCUCCCAAUUCCCAAAGAUCUCUUGGACAAAGCACGCUCAGGAAUGCUCAUGGUGGAAAAGAAAAAGGAUUAAAUCAGUGUUUUCAUAGGGAAUGGGAUUUGAGGAUUUGGAUGGGGAGUUUUUAUUCCCACCCAAAGGGAUCCUUUGCUCAGAGCCCUCAUCCCACCCAUCUCCAGAGGGAAGGAGAACUGAGCCAGGAAUAUCAGGAUCAGCCCUGGAGAUUGUGCUCCGCAGUGUUUGCUGUCUCUGGGGUUUCUGGGAUGGCUUUUCCUCCUCUCCAUCCUCCCUCUUAUCCUGGUUUAGGAACACCAGGAACAGGAGGCUCCAAAUCCCAGCCAGAUUUCACAUUCCCAAUGUUUUUGAGAGGAUGUGGAGCACGAGCAUCCCGUGGUGCAGAUUCCAGCCCUCAGCAUCACUGCUUGGUGUUUGGAUCAGGAGUUUUUAUUGCCAUCAAAGGGGAUCCUGUGCAGCUCUGUCCCUCCUUGUCACCCUGACCACAACCAGACCCCUCAUCCCACCCUGCUCCGAGGGGAAGGAGAGCUGAGCCAGGAAAAUUGGCAUGUCCCCAUUGAUGCCUCAGGUUUGGCUUUUGUAUUUUUCAGGCUCUGUGCUGCUUCAGUGUAACAGG
Junco hyemalis (dark-eyed junco) is the source of this 1669-nucleotide long non-coding RNA. Lineage: Eukaryota; Metazoa; Chordata; Aves; Passeriformes; Passerellidae. The record is from Ensembl.